AACAUAGUUAUUGACGAUGAAUUGAUCACAUGAGUUUCCUUCCCAAGUGAGUCACUUAAAUAAUUCUUUUUUGUUACUUUCUUAUUAUGUCAUCAUCGAUUAAUAUUGUUAAUUUCAAUAGUGACAUAAAAAUACAAUAUUAUAACACAAACUCUUGCUCUUUUUCUAAUCAUAGAAUUCUACCAAGGGCUUCAAGUGUGAUUUGUGACUUGCACCGAAAUGGCAGCAAUGACAUCUUAGGUAUAAAUUUCCUUUUUGAUAGGUUUUAAGAUUAUUCCUUUUUAUUACAUGCAUAGACCAAAUGGUCAUUCUACUUUCCAAAUUUUUUUAUUAAUAUUGCAAAAGGUAAUGUUGCAUUGCCAUUUUAAAGGUAAAAUGAACACUAUGGCCUCUAGAAAAAGUUAUAGACGUGGUUCAUAAAGUGAUUGAUAAAACUGUUUAAUUUCAAUGUUACAGUAGGUGUGUGUUGCUGUGCUAGUGAAUGGGACAUCAUCUUCGUUGCAAAUUCAUGCUGUCUCAGUUCUUUCUGCAAGGGACUUGUGUUGAAGCCAAGAGGUACCAUGCUGUCUCAAUUUCAGCCUUUUAUUUUUUCAGAUUUUUAAAAUAUAUGGAAAAUAUUUAUAAUAUUUGAAUUCCUUCAUAGGAAUAAUUUAGGAUUAAUUAGAUUAUAUUACAUGUGUUUGUCCAACUGUAAGCAUCUUUCCCAACAAUUGUAUUAUCCAGAACUUAAACUUUGAUCCUCUCCUAGGCUGUGGAAUUUACCAUUACAUCCGACCUUUGUUGGCUGUGAUCCUCUUUCUAUACCUUUAUAUUUUUAAUGUGUGUGCAUUCAUAAAUAGAUGUCAUUAUUUUAUUUUUUUCCAUACACUACCUUCAAGUUGAUAGGCAAUAUUUGAAGAUAUAUUCUUUCUUUUUUUUUUUUUUUUUUCCAGCUGGUAUUGUGAUGCCUAAGGAAGAAGUUAUUUUAUUUGAUCCUAUAUAAUGUUGAGACUAUAUGUUUAUCAGUUCAUCUACCAGAUUGGGUGGUUUAAUCUUCGUUUUGGAAUUAUUUUUUCCUGUUUGAAGAUCUACCAUGGGAUUCAAGUUUGAUUGAUGGGCUUGCACCAAGAUGGCGCAGUGAUAUCUCAGGUAUAAAUUUCGUCUUUGAUAGGUUUGGAGUUUGAAUAUAACUCCUUUUACUUCAUUCAUGGUCCAAUGCUCGUCCUGUUUUCCAAUGCUUUUUUUUAAAUGUGGCAAAAGUUAAUGCCCCAUUGCCAUUUUAAAGCCAAACUGAAGACUAUGUUCAUGAAGUGAUUGAUAAAACUGUUUGUUGUAUACCUUAGGCCAUAACAUUGUUCAAUUUCAAUCUCACAGUGUUAGUCCUUUCUGCAAGGAACUUGUUUUGAC
This 1386-nucleotide long non-coding RNA is filed under the name Cicer arietinum (chickpea). RNAcentral describes it as "long non-coding RNA (CARI_LNC003773)". The record is from RNAcentral. Lineage: Eukaryota; Viridiplantae; Streptophyta; Magnoliopsida; Fabales; Fabaceae.